This 75-nucleotide transfer RNA is filed under the name bacterium SM23_57. RNAcentral's name for it is "tRNA-Val". It matches the Rfam family "tRNA". Rfam says of the family: Transfer RNA (tRNA) molecules are approximately 80 nucleotides in length. Their secondary structure includes four short double-helical elements and three loops (D, anti-codon, and T loops). The record is from RNAcentral.
GGGCGAUUAGCUCAGUUGGUUCAGAGCGCCUGCCUUACACGCAGGAGGUCAUUGGUUCGAAUCCGAUAUCGCCCA